Molecule: ribosomal RNA, 497 nt
Filed under: uncultured bacterium
Lineage: Bacteria
Description: partial 16S ribosomal RNA
Rfam family: Bacterial small subunit ribosomal RNA
Source: RNAcentral
GAUGAACGCUGGCGGCGUGCCUAAUACAUGCCAGUCGAGCGAACAGACGAGGAGCUUGCUCCUUUGACGUUAGCGGCGGACGGGUGAGUAACACGUGGGUAACCUACCUAUAAGACUGGGAUAACUUCGGGAAACCGGAGCUAAUACCAGAUAAUAUUUCGAACCGCAUGGUUCGAUAGUGAAAGAUGGCUUUGCUAUCACUUAUAGAUGGACCUGCGCCGUAUUAGCUAGUUGGUAAGGUAACGGCUUACCAAGGCAACGAUACGUAGCCGACCUGAGAGGGUGAUCGGCCACACUGGAACUGAGACACGGUCCAGACUCCUACGGGAGGCAGCAGUAGGGAAUCUUCCGCAAUGGGCGAAAGCCUGACGGAGCAACGCCGCGUGAGUGAUGAAGGUCUUCGGAUCGUAAAACUCUGUUAUUAGGGAAGAACAAACGUGUAAGUAACUGUGCACGUCUUGACGGUACCUAAUCAGAAAGCCACGGCUAACUACGUG